UUUUUUUUUUUUUUUUUUUUUUAGACAGGGUCUCACCAGGCCAGCCCAGGCUGGCCUUGAACUUUCUGCAAUCCUCCUGCCUCAGCCUCCCAAGUGCUAGGAUCACAGGAUCACAGGAUCACCACUACGCCUGGAUUUCCAAUUGCCUUUUCAGCUGUGUAAACCAGGAUUGGGUCCAGCCUGUGACAUAUUCUGUUUGGGGAAUUAUGCACAUCCCAGAAGGAUUUGCUAACAACCCCUAGAAAGAGUCAAGAUCAUCUGGAGGGUGAGAAACAGUAUUUAUACCCAAAAUGACAGC
Molecule: long non-coding RNA, 298 nt
Filed under: Fukomys damarensis (Damara mole-rat)
Lineage: Eukaryota; Metazoa; Chordata; Mammalia; Rodentia; Bathyergidae
Description: lncRNA (ENSFDAG00000022786.1)
Source: RNAcentral